CAAGUCGAACGAUGAAGCCCUUCGGGGUGGAUUAGUGGCGAACGGGUGAGUAACACGUGGGCAAUCUGCCCUGCACUCUGGGACAAGCCCUGGAAACGGGGUCUAAUACCGGAUAUGACUGUCCGCCGCAUGGUGGAUGGUGUAAAGCUCCGGCGGUGCAGGAUGAGCCCGCGGCCUAUCAGCUAGUUGGUGAGGUAGUGGCUCACCAAGGCGACGACGGGUAGCCGGCCUGAGAGGGCGACCGGCCACACUGGGACUGAGACACGGCCCAGACUCCUACGGGAGGCAGCAGUGGGGAAUAUUGCACAAUGGGCGAAAGCCUGAUGCAGCGACGCCGCGUGAGGGAUGACGGCCUUCGGGUUGUAAACCUCUUUCAGCAGGGAAGAAGCGAAAGUGACGGUACCUGCAGAAGAAGCGCCGGCUAACUACGUGCCAGCAGCCGCGGUAAUACGUAGGGCGCAAGCGUUGUCCGGAAUUAUUGGGCGUAAAGAGCUCGUAGGCGGCUUGUCACGUCGGUUGUGAAAGCCCGGGGCUUAACCCCGGGUCUGCAGUCGAUACGGGCAGGCUAGAGUUCGGUAGGGGAGAUCGGAAUUCCUGGUGUAGCGGUGAAAUGCGCAGAUAUCAGGAGGAACACCGGUGGCGAAGGCGGAUCUCUGGGCCGAUACUGACGCUGAGGAGCGAAAGCGUGGGGAGCGAACAGGAUUAGAUACCCUGGUAGUCCACGCCGUAAACGGUGGGCACUAGGUGUGGGCAACAUUCCACGUUGUCCGUGCCGCAGCUAACGCAUUAAGUGCCCCGCCUGGGGAGUACGGCCGCAAGGCUAAAACUCAAAGGAAAUUGACGGGGGCCCGCACAAGCGGCGGAGCAUGUG
This 871-nucleotide ribosomal RNA is filed under the name Streptomyces intermedius. RNAcentral describes it as "bacterial SSU rRNA". It matches the Rfam family "Bacterial small subunit ribosomal RNA", at positions 58 to 943 of the family's 1533-position model. Lineage: Bacteria; Bacillati; Actinomycetota; Actinomycetes; Kitasatosporales; Streptomycetaceae. The record is from RNAcentral.